UGACCUUCGGGGGACGAUACGGCGUCGAGCGGCGGACGGGUGAGUAAUGCCUAGGAAAUUGCCCUGGUGUGGGGGAUAACCAUUGGAAACGAUGGCUAAUACCGCAUAAUACCUACGGGUCAAAGAGGGGGACCUUCGGGCCUCUCGCGUCAGGAUAUGCCUAGGUGGGAUUAGCUAGUUGGUGAGGUAAUGGCUCACCAAGGCGACGAUCCCUAGCUGGUCUGAGAGGAUGAUCAGCCACACUGGAACUGAGACACGGUCCAGACUCCUACGGGAGGCAGCAGUGGGGAAUAUUGCACAAUGGGCGCAAGCCUGAUGCAGCCAUGCCGCGUGUGUGAAGAAGGCCUUCGGGUUGUAAAGCACUUUCAGUCGUGAGGAAGGUAGUGUAGUUAAUAGCUGCAUUAUUUGACGUUAGCGACAGAAGAAGCACCGGCUAACUCCGUGCCAGCAGCCGCGGUAAUACGGAGGGUGCGAGCGUUAAUCGGAAUUACUGGGCGUAAAGCGCAUGCAGGUGGUUUGUUAAGUCAGAUGUGAAAGCCCGGGGCUCAACCUCGGAAUAGCAUUUGAAACUGGCAGACUAGAGUACUGUAGAGGGGGGUAGAAUUUCAGGUGUAGCGGUGAAAUGCGUAGAGAUCUGAAGGAAUACCGGUGGCGAAGGCGGCCCCCUGGACAGAUACUGACACUCAGAUGCGAAAGCGUGGGGAGCAAACAGGAUUAGAUACCCUGGUAGUCCACGCCGUAAACGAUGUCUACUUGGAGGUUGUGGCCUUGAGCCGUGGCUUUCGGAGCUAACGCGUUAAGUAGACCGCCUGGGGAGUACGGUCGCAAGAUUAAAACUCAAAAUGAAUUGACGGGGGGCCCGCACAAGCGGUGGAGCAUGUGGUUUAAUUCGAUGCAACGCG
Molecule: ribosomal RNA, 902 nt
Filed under: Thalassomonas sp. R5M5
Lineage: Bacteria; Pseudomonadati; Pseudomonadota; Gammaproteobacteria; Alteromonadales; Colwelliaceae
Description: bacterial SSU rRNA
Rfam family: Bacterial small subunit ribosomal RNA
Source: RNAcentral